RNAcentral lists this microRNA precursor (105 nucleotides) under Chlorocebus sabaeus (green monkey). RNAcentral describes it as "miRNA (ENSCSAG00000022365.1)". Lineage: Eukaryota; Metazoa; Chordata; Mammalia; Primates; Cercopithecidae. The record is from RNAcentral.
UAUUUGGUUGGUGCAAAAGUAAUCAUGGUUUUUGCCAUUUAAAGUACUUUUGCUGUUACUUUAAAUGACAAAAACCGCGAUUACUUUUGCACCAACCAAAUAUUU